Molecule: non-coding RNA, 270 nt
Organism: Pelobates cultripes (western spadefoot toad)
Lineage: Eukaryota; Metazoa; Chordata; Amphibia; Anura; Pelobatidae
Source: the annotation of a GenBank genome assembly
CAGGUAUGUGUGUUGUUCUGCGGGAGCGGUCUGUGGCUGUUUAGACCUUUGCAGCAUGGCUCCAAUGUCCCUGGUGUCUGCUGCUGUGAUGGGUUUUUGGGAGUGUCGUCCCAUAGCUGGUAUGUAGGGUGGAGGGAGGGAUGUCGUGGGUGAUAGUUCCAUGCCCGUUCCCCUCUCUGUGGCUCCUGCCAACGGUGCUUCCAGGCUUGGUGUAUUCAGUGUGGGGUAGGCCCAGAUUUUCCACCUCCACUUAGGCUGGUUAGGUGCCAG